UGGUGGAGUGAUUUGUCUGGUUAAUUCCGUUAACGAACGAGACCUUAGAUUGCUAAAUAGUUACAUGUAACCUCGGUUACAUGGGCAACUUCUUAGAGUGACUUUGCGUGUCUAACGCAAGGAAGUUUGAGGCAAUAACA
RNAcentral lists this ribosomal RNA (140 nucleotides) under uncultured eukaryote. RNAcentral describes it as "partial 18S ribosomal RNA". It matches the Rfam family "Eukaryotic small subunit ribosomal RNA", at positions 1299 to 1458 of the family's 1831-position model. The record is from RNAcentral.